UAUAUUCUCCGCUGGGGGGGGAUGAGAACCCCCUACCGGGGUUCGACAACUGGCGCAGCCAGUUGGACAGACCGCGAGCCCGCGAGCGGGCUGCCCCGCAGGGGCGAGCGAAGCGAGUCAAUCCCCCCUCACCGCCA
Molecule: small RNA, 137 nt
Filed under: Klebsiella quasipneumoniae subsp. similipneumoniae
Lineage: Bacteria; Pseudomonadati; Pseudomonadota; Gammaproteobacteria; Enterobacterales; Enterobacteriaceae
Also listed under: 2 other names
Description: RtT sRNA
Rfam family: RtT RNA
About the family: This family represents a bacterial cis-regulatory element known as RtT RNA. The exact function of RtT is unknown although it is thought that it may be involved in changing the cellular response in relation to amino acid starvation.
Source: RNAcentral